This is a small nuclear RNA of Molossus molossus (Pallas's mastiff bat), 107 nucleotides long. The record is from RefSeq and is a predicted model, not a curated record. Lineage: Eukaryota; Metazoa; Chordata; Mammalia; Chiroptera; Molossidae.
AAGCUUGCAUUGGUAGCCCAUAUACUAAAAUUAAAAUGAUACAGAGAAUAUUAGCAUGGCCCUUGUACAAGGAUGCCAUGCAAAUUCGUAAAGCAUUCCUUUUUUUU